GAUCAUGGCUCAGAUUGAACGCUGGCGGCAGGCCUAACACAUGCAAGUCGAACGGUAACAGGAGACAGCUUGCUGUUUCGCUGACGAGUGGCGGACGGGUGAGUAAUGUCUGGGAAACUGCCUGAUGGAGGGGGAUAACUACUGGAAACGGUAGCUAAUACCGCAUAACGUCGCAAGACCAAAGAGGGGGGACCUUCGGGCCGUCCUUGCCAUCGGAUGUGCCCAGAUGGGAUUAG
Molecule: ribosomal RNA, 236 nt
Filed under: uncultured bacterium
Lineage: Bacteria
Description: partial 16S ribosomal RNA
Rfam family: Bacterial small subunit ribosomal RNA
Source: RNAcentral